Molecule: ribosomal RNA, 439 nt
Filed under: uncultured bacterium
Lineage: Bacteria
Description: partial 16S ribosomal RNA
Rfam family: Bacterial small subunit ribosomal RNA
Source: RNAcentral
CCUCGGGGUGCAGCAGUGAGGAAUAUUGCACAAUGGGGGGAACCCUGAUGCAGCAACGCCGCGUGGAGGAUGACGCAUUUCGGUGUGUAAACUCCUUUUAUAUGUCAAGAAAAUGACGGUAGCAUAUGAAUAAGCACCGGCUAACUCCGUGCCAGCAGCCGCAGUAAUACGGAGGGUGCAAGCGUUACGCGGAAUCACUGGGCGUAAAGGACGCGUAGGCGGGUUGGAAAGUCAGGUGUGAAAUCCUACAGCUUAACUGUAGAACUGCACUUGAAACUUCUAAUCUAGAGUAUGGGAGGGGGAGAUGGAAUUAGUGGUGUAGGGGUAAAAUCCGUAGAUAUCACUAGGAAUACCUAAAGCGAAGGCGAUCUCCUGGAACAUUACUGACGCUAAGGCGUGAAAGCGUGGGGAGCAAACAGGAUUAGAUACCCCCGUAGUC